RNAcentral lists this ribosomal RNA (137 nucleotides) under uncultured Klebsiella sp. RNAcentral describes it as "partial 16S ribosomal RNA". It matches the Rfam family "Bacterial small subunit ribosomal RNA", at positions 394 to 525 of the family's 1533-position model. The record is from RNAcentral. Lineage: Bacteria; Pseudomonadati; Pseudomonadota; Gammaproteobacteria; Enterobacterales; Enterobacteriaceae.
AGGCCGCGUGUAUGAUGAAGGCCUUCGGGUUGUAAAGCAUCUUUUGUGGGGAAGAAAGAGACUUUGUAUAAUACUUGUCUUAUGACGUUACCCGAAAAGAAGCACCGGCUAACUCCGUGCCAGCAGCCGCGGUAAUA